GAUGAAGAACGUAGCGAAAUGCGAUAAGUAAUGUGAAUUGCAGAAUUCCGUGAAUCAUCGAAUCUUUGAAUGCACAUUGCGCCCUCUGGUAUUCCGGGGGGCAUGCCUGUCCGAGCGUCAUUUGCAACCCUCAAGCCCGGCUUGUGUGAUGGGUGCCGUCCCCUACGGGACGCGCCCCGAAGGCAAUGGCGGCGUCGCGGUUAUCCGAUCAGCCAAAGUGUAUGGGGCUUUGUCACUCACUUUACGGCCCGGACCGGCGCCAGUCCGAAUCAAUCUUUUUUCUAAAGUUGACCUCGGAUCAGGUAGGGAUACCCGCUGAACUUAAGCAUAUCAAUAAGCGGAGGA
This 345-nucleotide unclassified non-coding RNA is filed under the name soil metagenome. Its description in RNAcentral is "partial contains 5.8S ribosomal RNA, internal transcribed spacer 2, and large subunit ribosomal RNA". The stretch from base 1 to 120 matches the Rfam family "5.8S ribosomal RNA", at positions 35 to 154 of the family's 154-position model. The record is from RNAcentral.